AUACGUAGGUGGCAAGCGUUGUCCGGAAUUAUUGGGCGUAAAGCGCAUGUAGGCGGUUUGGUAAGUCGGUCGUGAAAAUGCGGUGCCUAACGCCGUAUUGCGAUCGAAACUGCUGAACUUGAGUGCAGGAGAGGCAAGGGGAACUCCCAGUGUAGCGGUGAAAUGCGUAGAUAUUGGGAAGAACACCGGUGGCGAAGGCGCCUUUCUGGACUGUGUCUGACGCUCAGAUGCGAAAGCCAGGGUAGCGAACGGGAUUAGAUACCCCGGUAGUCCUGGCCGUAAACGAUGGGUACUAGGUGUGGGAGGUAUCGACUCCUUCCGUGCCGGAGUUAACGCAAUAAGUACCCCGCCUGGGGAGUACGGCCGCAAGGCUUAAACUCAAAGGAAUUGACGGGG
This 396-nucleotide ribosomal RNA is filed under the name uncultured bacterium. Its description in RNAcentral is "partial 16S ribosomal RNA". It matches the Rfam family "Bacterial small subunit ribosomal RNA", at positions 523 to 918 of the family's 1533-position model. The record is from RNAcentral.